This 2347-nucleotide small RNA is filed under the name Pongo abelii (Sumatran orangutan). Its description in RNAcentral is "retained intron". Lineage: Eukaryota; Metazoa; Chordata; Mammalia; Primates; Hominidae. The record is from RNAcentral.
GUUGUGUGUUGGGGUGGUGAACUCUGUGACAAGAUAGAGAAGGAAGGGUGGGGAAUGUGGGAAGCUUGGGGAAUGUGGGGAUGCAGUGUGGCUGGGUGAGGCUGCAUCGGGGAGUGGAGGGCGGGGGGCUACACAGGUCAGGAAAUGUGGCCCGGGUCCAUCUUACCCUGUCCGCUUCCUGGGGCUCCUGGAUUCUACUCCUGGGGCCCAGACCCUUGUGUAGCUCGUUUCUCUGUGAGCACCUGGGCCCUGACCACUGCAGCGGCCAUGGGUGGGCAGUGGGAGGGGCCCUCCCUGGUGCAGGGGGUCACGGCUGCUGGGACUUGGCAGCUCCAGGAUCGGCAGCAUUUUGUGGAGAACGACGAGAUGUACUCUGUCCAGGACCUCCUGGACGUGCAUGCCGGCCGCCUGGGCUGCUCACUCACCGAGAUCCACACGCUCUUCGCCAAGCACAUCAAGCUGGACUGUGAGCGGUGCCAGGCCAAGGGCUUCGUGUGUGAGCUCUGCAGAGAGGGCGAUGUGCUGUUCCCGUUCGACAGCCACACGUCUGUGUGCGCUGACUGCUCCGCUGUCUUCCACAGGGACUGCUACUACGACAACUCUACCACGUGUCCCAAGUGUGCCCGGCUCAGCCUGAGGAAGCAGUCGCUCUUCCAGGAGCCAGGUCCUGACGUGGAGGCCUAGCGCUGAGGAACAGUGCUGGGCACCCCACCUGGCCCGCCAGGACCCACCCUGCCAACGUCAAGUUGUUCGUUCUGCUCUGGAGACCCCUGGGGUGCGGCCCUGGACCCCUCCACCCCUGCUGGGCCAGAGUGGUGGGCAGUGUCAAGGCCCGCUGUCUCCCAGGUGCUUGCUGGGACUCGGGGCGGCCGCACCUGGCUGUCACCUGGGUGUGCUGCUGUGAGGGGUCCUUGCGUGGCCCCCAUCCUUCCCCCAGUGCAGAACUCCAUGGGCAGGGAGUUGGGGGGACAUCUCAUCUCCCCCAUGGCACAGAGCCCUCCACACCCCUGGACCAGGGCAUCCGGGCCCUAGAGAUUCCACAGCUCCUGUCCUGGCCACCCUGGAAACUCAUCAGGCCAAGACCCCGAGAGAGCUUCAGAGGAGUGUUGAGUAACACCUGAGGAUGCGGCUGCACACACUCAGCCAAGGGCCGAGUCUCACCUGCAGUGGGGUUUCGGCUCUGCCUGGGGGCUCCAUCCCUUUCAGCCACUCGUCGCCUUGGGGAUUUCUGGUUGUCCCCAGCUGGGGCUGUUCACAGUUGUCACCUGCAGACCUGCCUCUCCCUGGCCUGAGGUUCAAAGGCCUCAUUGGGUGGUCAGUCCAGUGAGGUCACUUGUUGUUUCUGUACAACAGCAGGGAAGGGGCCAUGGAGCUUUUCCCUGCUGGGUGCUCCUGCUUUGGCCCAGCCCACCUGUCCUGGUGCUCCAAGCUAGGAGGCUGUGGCCCCUGCCUGAGGAGGGUGUCCUGGUCUCCAGGUGUGGAGCAGGGACUGUGCGCUGGGGGAGGUUCCAGUUAGGCGAUGGGAUCCUGCAGUGGUCUGGUGGCAUUUCUUGGAACCAGAUUUACCUGAGGAGCUCUGUCCUGCUGCCUGUGGAGGGCUCCAGAUAGCUCAGAAAUGACCAGCCAAUGGCCUUUUGUUUGGAGGCCUGAGGUCAAGAGCUGAGAAUAUUCGCUCGACUGAGCGAAGAUGGGGGCAGGCAUGUGGGAGGUCCCUCACUCCACAGGACAAAGGCCCCUGGACAGCAGAGGAAACCUACAGCUCUGGGUGAGGGGACACUUGGCUUUGGUGUUUGCACUUUACAGAUCCUGCGGUCCACGAGGGGCCUCAGGAGAGGACGUGUCAGGACGUGGCUUCCCAGCCUUCUGCCUUGGGCAGUGGGGGUGCUCCUGUCUAUCCUUUUCCCCCACACCCUGGACUGUGUUUGGCUGUUGGUGCACAUGGCUGGCACACACGGUGGGCAGAGGGCAGAGAAUGCCACUGCUUGGAUAUUUUGGUCCCCUUUGACCAGGAAACCCAAGAGGAGACACCUCACUCGGCAGAAAGGCCGCCCGGCUCGCUGGCUCAUUCCAGGAGUGGGAGAGAUGGCAAGGUCUCCUCUUUGCCCUCCGCCAUCAGGAAGGGGACGGUGUCCUCUCCUCGCUGUGGUGGCUUUAGGCAAGGUUCUUACUGUCUGCUCUGCCUCGGUUUCCCCAUCUGGAAAAUGGGGGCAGGGGUACUGACCUACCUCAGGUGGAACAGUGAGCAGGGAACAUGUCGGAGCUCUUUAGAGAGUGUGAUGUGAGGUUGGAUCAACAGUGUGGGUUCCUGUCCUGCUUCCCCUUCCUCUUUGGGGCUGAGGACGGGCUU